RNAcentral lists this long non-coding RNA (214 nucleotides) under Elaeis guineensis (African oil palm). RNAcentral describes it as "long non-coding RNA (EGUI_LNC060019)". The record is from RNAcentral. Lineage: Eukaryota; Viridiplantae; Streptophyta; Magnoliopsida; Arecales; Arecaceae.
AGCUAAUGCCCAUUUAACAGAGCCAUGGAGUCUGAUGAUUGUUAGUGUGUCCGCUAUGAUCGAAGGAUUGUCGGAGUAUAAGCUACAGUUCAUGGUGCAAACCCAGGCGAAACCUGAUGUUAUUCGACUAAUACCCAUUUAACGAAGAUAUGGAGUCUGACAACUAUUAGCAUGCCAGCUAUGGUCGAAGGGCCACUGGAGUAUGAACUAUAGU